UCAUUUUAUUACUUUUUGUAUCUUGCUUUCUCUUUAUCUGGUUCAUUACAAUUCAAGUUUUUUUCAUGUUACAGGUUGAUAUUUUUUGGAAGUACAAUGAAAUUCUUGGCAAAGGAGCUUUUAAAGACAGUGUGUGAACCUCAUUUCCUCAUAUUAUUUUGAACUUUCAUUGAAUCGUUCUUCAACAGUCAACAAUUGGAGGUAGAGAACCCAACGCUUGAGAGAGGUGGCAUUGCUUAUGAUACAGUUUUGUUAUAAAACAGUCGGUAAUGGCCACAAGAGACAUGAUUCAUUCUUGUCGUUCUCUAAUACAAGUUGUGCAUUUUAAUUUUUCUUUUUCUUCAUAUUUGUUGACACCGUUAAACCAAUUUUAAUUUUAAGAUUGUUUUUUAUUGAAUUUGUUUUGGGUCAAAAAAAUGUAGGAUUAUUUGUUUGUUGGACUUUUGCGAGCACUUGGAAUUUGGUUAAAUUAGUGUUUAGUCGCUUUGUAUUUAGUUUCCCACCGCAAACGCUAAUCUUAAAAUGUCGGGUUACCAAGUAUAAUUUAUGUCAAGAUUGAUUUGUUUAACCUUGGUUAUUUAGGUAUUUGUUUAUUGAUUAAUAUGCGAUUAAAAGUAAGAUUGGAGUUUAUCUAAAAGAUACAAUUUAGGGAACAAUAUAAAUAGGGAAAUAAUAUUAAAUAAGGAAAUAAUGCAAAAUCUGACUUGAUGAAGAUUAAACACCAAAUCAUUGACAGAAAACACCAUAGCAUGAGAUGAAUCAUUUACCCACGUUGCAAUUCUUACUUUUAUAAGCUCACAAACUUCCUCCAAAUUUGGCUGCACCCCAUUAAACACAAUAUCUUUUCUCAAUUUCCAAAUAGACCACAAAAUUGCAAUUAGGGUGGCAUUCCAAAUUCUUUACUCCAGCUUUUUCAUACGAGUCCCAACCCAAAACUGCAGCAGACUCACCACUACCCUGGACAUGGUGUCACUUGUGAGGUUAAAUAGAGGGUUUUGAUUGAGUUUUGAAAGAAUAUUAAAGAACACUUUGAAGGUUUGGCAUGUUCUUGAGGCUUGGGGUUUACUUGCACCAUUCCAACCAUCAACUCUAUCUUUUCCCUCCUCCUUAUGAAUCAAAGCUUCAAGUAAAGGUAAGGGUCUUCUGACAUCUUCAUUAGAAGCAUGCUAGGGUUUCUAUUUUUAACUAAUAACAUUAUUCCUGAGUUAGUUUUGUAUUCAUGAGUAGUUUUAUAUAUUUCAGUCCAUGAAAUUAAUGCUCCAUUAAAAUCCAUAUUUUGAAUGUGUUAAGUUAAAUUCCUAUUCAUACUUUGUUUCAUGGUUAAUAACUCAUGUUUGAACUAAGUUAAGGUAUCACUAUGAAACCUUCAAAAGGGUUAGUGUAACAUGAUUUUAUAAACUUUGAGUACAAUAUUCUUAGCCAUCUAUGAAAUCAAAAUAAAUGAUUAUUUAAUUAAUUUAGGAUUUUCAUGUCAAAAGUUAAAAAAUAUAUUUUAUGGCAUAUUAGAAAACUAUUAGUAUAAACAACAUACAAUCACACUUAUUUAGAAAAUGUGAUUAAAAAAAAAAGAUAUGAUCACACUUAUUUAAAAAAUGAGAUUAAAAAUAAAUAUUAUCACGCUCACUCAAAUUAAGUGUGAUUAAAAUAUCAAUCUAAUUUUUUUUAUCACACUUCCAAUAAAAAUGAGAUAGUUUCAUUUGUCAAAGUGUGAUCUUUAACUAUUUUUGUAGUAGUGGUAAUGGAUUUAAAUUUUGUGCCAGCUAAAGAAAGCGAUAAUGGAAUUUCUACCAAUCAUUGCUUCAAUCACUCAAUUGGUCGUCUCCCUCCUAUUCAAAAGUGGAAGUUUGAAGAGGUAAUGAUGAUGAAAAGGUGGCAAUAGUGCUACUUGAUGAUUCGAAAGCGCAUCAGCCACUCCAAAGUUAGUUCGAUCAAAAUUGAUAUGGCAUUUGCUGUAGAGGCUGCAUGGUGGGCAACGAUAACCAAGUUAAACAUGUUUAAAGACCGUUGCCUAGCUAAACCCACUACAAUAUAUAAAUAUUUUAUUUAGAAAUUAAGUUUUUUAAAAAAAAAUUCUCACACAAAACAUUAAUAGGCCAAUUUUAGUCGUCACUUACAUGCACGAUGUUUAUUUUUAUUUUAAUAUAACUGUGAUAUAAAAAAAUUUUAAAAAAACAUAUGACGUGUAAAGAUAUAGAAAAGAUACUUGAAAGAAAUUUCUUGGAAGAGAUUAACUUUAAAAAAAAUUGGAAAAAUAAUUGUCUUAUUAUACCAAAAAAACUUCCAUCUUGAAUUCUCUUUCUAUUUUAUACCAAAAAAACUUCAUCUUAUUAGAAAUUGUUUCUAUGAUAUUUAAAUUUUUGUUUAUGUAUAUAUAAUUUAUAUAUAUCAUAUUAUACAUACAUAUAUGUUUUGUGUAUAUGGUAAAAAAAAUUAUUUUCUUUUGGCCCCUCCGAUAAUGAAAUCCUGGUUCCGUCCCUGUGCAUAGGGACUGUUUUGUUGUAUUUUACUAUUUUUUCUUUUGUUAAAUAAGUUCAAAAAUUUUCACUACUUAAAAAAAUUAAAAUAUUUAUUCAUCACCAGUUAAAAAAAUAAAAAUAUCUAAUUAAUUCCCCAAAGGACGCAGCUUCACAUGAUAUUUAUUUUAUUGGGUAAUUUUGAUGCAUGAUCAAGAAGUACAUGAAAAGAAUUGUUAUUGGUGAAAAAAAUAAGAUUUAUAAUUUUGUAUUAAAAUAUAAGGAAUAAAAAAGGAUGUGAUAUUUUUUAUUAAAAAAAAAUA
Camellia sinensis is the source of this 2776-nucleotide non-coding RNA. The record is from RefSeq and is a predicted model, not a curated record. NCBI's taxonomy places the organism in Eukaryota, Viridiplantae, Streptophyta, Magnoliopsida, Ericales, Theaceae.